GACGAACGCUGGCGGCGUGCCUAAUACAUGCAAGUAGAACGCACAGUUUAUACCGUAGCUUGCUACACCAUAGACUGUGAGUUGCGAACGGGUGAGUAACGCGUAGGUAACCUGCCUGGUAGCGGGGGAUAACUAUUGGAAACGAUAGCUAAUACCGCAUAAUAUUAAUUAUUGCAUGAUAAUUAAUUGAAAGGUGCAAUUGCACCACUACCAGAUGGACCUGCGCUGUAUUAGCUAGUAGGUGAGGUAACGGCUCACCUAGGCGACGAUACAUAGCCGACCUGAGAGGGUGAUCGGCCACACUGGGACUGAGACACGGCCCAGACUCCUACGGGAGGCAGCAGUAGGGAAUCUUCGGCAAUAGACGAAAGUCUGACCGAGCAACGCCGCGUGAGUGAAGAAGGUUUUCGGAUCGUAAAGCUCUGUUGUAAGAGAAGAACGGGUGUGAGAGUGGAAAGUUCACACUGUGACGGUAUCUUACCAGAAAGGGACGGCUAACUACGUG
This 505-nucleotide ribosomal RNA is filed under the name uncultured bacterium. RNAcentral's name for it is "partial 16S ribosomal RNA". It matches the Rfam family "Bacterial small subunit ribosomal RNA", at positions 28 to 507 of the family's 1533-position model. The record is from RNAcentral.